Pipra filicauda (Wire-tailed manakin) is the source of this 347-nucleotide long non-coding RNA. RefSeq lists it as uncharacterized. Lineage: Eukaryota; Metazoa; Chordata; Aves; Passeriformes; Pipridae. The transcript has 2 exons. The record is from RefSeq and is a predicted model, not a curated record.
UGAGUUUCAGAAAUCUGUAUUUCAGACACCAUGGACUGAAUGCCCUUGGCACAUCUGGAGGAACAACCCUGGUGGAGAGGAGUUAAAGAAGGGAACUCACCCAUGGUUGCCAAGACUGCCUCGUUGGCAUGAGUACACAAGCCUUGCCUAGCAUCUUUGUCAGAGCAGCUGAAUGACAGAAGGAAAAACAGUUACUGCAAGUAGAAUCAACAGUAUCAAAGUAUUCUUCUGUAUCCAGAGAAGAGAGGACCAUAUACACAUUUAUACAGGGGUGCAUGCAUGUAUGUAUCAAUCAUCAGUCUGCAAUAUCCUUAUAUCUAAGUCAUUCUAGAUUCACCUCUCAGGUA